RNAcentral lists this ribosomal RNA (433 nucleotides) under uncultured bacterium. RNAcentral describes it as "bacterial SSU rRNA". It matches the Rfam family "Bacterial small subunit ribosomal RNA", at positions 272 to 720 of the family's 1533-position model. The record is from RNAcentral.
GACCGCGAUGGGUAGCCGGCCUGAGAGGGUGAACGGCCACAAGGGGACUGAGACACGGCCCUUACUCCUACGGGAGGCAGCAGUGGGGAAUAUUGGACAAUGGACCAAAGUCUGAUCCAGCAAUUCUGUGUGCACGAUGACGGUCUUAGGAUUGUAAAGUGCUUUCAAUCGGGAAAAAGAAAGUGAUGGUACCGAUAGAAGAAGCGACGGCUAAAUACGUGCCAGCAGCCGCGGUAAUACGUAUGUCGCAAGCGUUAUCCGGAUUUAUUGGGCGUAAAGCGCGUCUAGGCGGUUUGGUAAGUCUGAUGUGGAAAUGCGGGGCUCAACUCCGUAUUGCGUUGGAAACUGCCAGACUAGAGUACUGGAGAGGUGGGCGGAACUACAAGUGUAGAGGUGAAAUUCGUAGAUAUUUGUAGGAAUGCCGAUAGAGAAG